This is a long non-coding RNA of Sebastes umbrosus (honeycomb rockfish), 148 nucleotides long. RefSeq lists it as uncharacterized. NCBI's taxonomy places the organism in Eukaryota, Metazoa, Chordata, Actinopteri, Perciformes, Sebastidae. The record is from RefSeq and is a predicted model, not a curated record. The transcript has 3 exons.
CUCUCAUAUGGCGCAAGUAAAAUAAAGUAUUGACUGAGCUAAUCUUUGCAUGUAAACUAUUAAUUAAAAAUGUAUACAGCAUUUUUGAGAAUCGAUUCAGUAUCGAAAAACACAAUAUUGCCAUCCGAUAUAUUCAAUAUUUUCUUAC